GCCGCUAUGGUGAAAUUGGUAGACACGCUGC
This 31-nucleotide transfer RNA is filed under the name Cuspidaria inaequalis. Its description in RNAcentral is "partial tRNA-Leu". RNAcentral also lists the same sequence under 60 other names. The record is from RNAcentral. Lineage: Eukaryota; Viridiplantae; Streptophyta; Magnoliopsida; Lamiales; Bignoniaceae.